GCUGCAUGGCUGUCGUCAGCUCGUGUCGUGAGAUGUUGGGUUAAGUCCCGCAACGAGCGCAACCCUUGCCUUUAGUUGCCAGCAGUUCGGCUGGGCACUCUAAAGGGACUGCCGGUGUUAAACCGGAGGAAGGUGGGGGAUGACGUCAAGUCCUCAUGGCCUUUAUGACCAGGGCUACACACGUACUACAAUGGCCGAUACAAAGGGCAGCGACACUGCGAGGUAGAAGCCAAUCCCGUAAAAUCGGUCUCAGUCCGGAUUGGAGUCUGCAACUCGACUCCAUGAAGUUGGAAUCGCUAGUAAUCGUGGAUCAGCAUGCCACGGUGAAUACGUUCCCGGGCCUU
This 344-nucleotide ribosomal RNA is filed under the name uncultured Desulfobulbus sp. Its description in RNAcentral is "bacterial SSU rRNA". It matches the Rfam family "Bacterial small subunit ribosomal RNA", at positions 1040 to 1382 of the family's 1533-position model. The record is from RNAcentral. Lineage: Bacteria; Pseudomonadati; Thermodesulfobacteriota; Desulfobulbia; Desulfobulbales; Desulfobulbaceae.